Drosophila ananassae is the source of this 2063-nucleotide long non-coding RNA. RefSeq lists it as uncharacterized. Lineage: Eukaryota; Metazoa; Arthropoda; Insecta; Diptera; Drosophilidae. The transcript is spliced from 2 exons. The record is from RefSeq and is a predicted model, not a curated record.
GUAUGUACAUAAGCAUGUACAUAUUUACUCACAUAAAAUACCUAUGUAUACGUCAAAAUGCAACAAAUAAUAUGAGAGAGGAAAGAAGAAUGCAGAACGCAGAGACUGGUAGAAGGGGCAGGAGAAGACUGGGCGAAGCAAAGAAGUAGCAGAAGGCGCUGCUUGGGGCCUGAGGCCUGUGCCUCGACGUUUUGUUGGGGCCUCCAACGCCAACACUGGCGUACACAAGCACAUCACCGGCGCAACCGCGUAGCGCAGUGUAGCUGCAGAUAAAUAUGGGGUAAAUAAUAAACUAAAAUUAAAGUUAGAGCGGGUAGAUGAAGUAGCUAAUUACUUGCUCCUAAAAUGAUUCUUUACAAUUAUCUAAUCGUCACUAAAAACGUACUUGUCAUGGAAAAUGAUGAAAUAAGCAUAAAAAUACCCGAAUCAACCGAUAGCAAUAAACUUAUAAACAAUAAAUCUUAAAGUGGAAUAGAAGGCGUCGAGGCGGGGGCGAGAGGGACCUGCUGCAGGAAACGGGGGACUGGGAAGUGGGCGCACGUUGCUUUGGAGAGAGAUGGAACGAGAGAGCGAGAUAAAGCGACGAAGACUGUGCGCCGUACUCUGGCAGACAAACUGGCAGGCGGCUCCUCCUCUACCUUUCCACCGUCUAUCUUCUUCCUCGGCUGCGCCCCAAGCAGCGCAGCAUAAAGCGCCACACUUGCAUGUACGUGUGUGUGUGCGAUUACGAGUUCCAUCUCACACUCGUGCUCGCCAUCCCCGGCCCCCACUCUACCGUUGUCCCUCUUCGUUUGGUGCUGCUUCUGGUUCUGUGUGUGUGUAUCUGUGCGGCAUUUGUAUUUUUGGUAUAAAAUUGUUGUUUAAACAAACAGGUUUUGUUUUUUACACCGCAGCCACAUAACUCGUCAGUCGAGCUCGCCGUCUCCCGCUCCCACUCCCGCUCCCGCUCCCGUUUCUGUUGCUAAGAUCUCUCCCUCCUAGUCUCCCGCCUUGCAACCCUUUUUUAUUUUCAGUGCUACACAUUGUAUGCCGGCACCGCCAACGCCUCCACUUGCAGCCUUUGUGCGCCGUUGUCGAUUUUCUAUUGGAAAUUUAGCAGACAAAACGGCAGCAGCUGAAUGCUAAGGGGUCGUAAGACCAACGAGAGUUUACCUAAUUUAACGUUGCCAGCCCUAGCGCUAGCGCCAGUUUUGAUUUUGACGGUUGGAUCUGUAACCCUGGAAAAGCAAAGCUCUCUUAGGCCAAGCGGGAACUGAGCAAGAGUACUUUUGGGAUCCACUGCUUUCCUCAUUUGCCAGUAGAAUGCCAGUUAAUCUCUCUCUAUCUCUCAUCUCCCUGCUCAAAAAACGGCGCCCCAACGGCGCCAGCAGCAACAGCGGCAGGUCGGUGGCAAUCGGCAAGGUGUACCUCCAGCUAAUGUUAUGUAUUGAAUUUAUUUUUGUAUUCACACGUUCGAAAACUGAGCGAGAUGGAGAGCUGCGUGUAGGUGUGUGUGUGUGAAUAAACGCGUGGAACACUCGCUGGCGCUGCCAGGGAGAGAAAACGACAAAAAAAGAGCGGAUGGGGCUUGAGAGAGAACGUCGGAUUACUUGUUGACAGAGGGAGCAGAGAGAUUGUCGAGCUGGCUGAAAAUGAAAAGCGGCAACGACGCAUGCGAUCGCCACCAGACAGAAUGUCGCCAGUUCAUACUACGCCGCCAGACAUACUGUCGUCGUUCCUACGCCGCCGUCGACGCCUGCAGAUCGCUGCCCACACCCCCUUGACGCCUCGGCGCCCCACUUUUCACCCCCCGCUCCUUGGCCCCCACAUUUAAGCACUAACUUAAUUAUAAAAUUAAAAAACAACUAUUUUCUAAUCUUUUAUACAUAUUUAAGGAUCAAUCUAGGCUAUACACCGAACUGCGGUAGAAAUAUUUACGGAAAAAAUAUAAUAAAUAAUACUAAUAUGUACAUAAUAAUGUAAUUAUAUUUAAUAAAUAUGAGAAGUAUAUAAUAUAAUACAAAAUUGGCAAUAAUUGAAAUUAAAUCAAGACUCAAAUCAUGACAUAUUAGAUGAAAAACAAC